GUGGGGAAUCUUCCGCAAUGGACGAAAGUCUGACGGAGCGACGCCGCGUGAGUGAAGAAGGCCUUCGGGUCGUAAAGCUCUGUCAUCAGGGACGAACGGCCGGUGGAGUGGAAAGCCACCGGAUUGACGGUACCUGAGAAGGAAGCCACGGCUAACUACGUGCCAGCAGCCGCGGUAAUACGUAGGUGGCAAGCGUUGUCCGGAAUUAUUGGGCGUAAAGCGCGCGCAGGUGGGAUCUUAAGUCCAUUUUUAAAGUUCGGAGCUCAACUCCGUGAUGGGAUGGAAACUGGGAUUCUUGAGUACCGGAGAGGAAAGCGGAAUUCCCCGUGUAGCGGUGAAAUGCGUAGAUAUGGGGAGGAACACCAGUGGCGAAGGCGGCUUUCUGGACGGUGUCUGACACUGAGGCGAAAGCUAGGGGAGCGAACGGGAUUAGAUACCCCAGUAGUCC
This 448-nucleotide ribosomal RNA is filed under the name uncultured bacterium. RNAcentral's name for it is "partial 16S ribosomal RNA". It matches the Rfam family "Bacterial small subunit ribosomal RNA", at positions 354 to 796 of the family's 1533-position model. The record is from RNAcentral.